Molecule: long non-coding RNA, 806 nt
Filed under: Pan troglodytes (chimpanzee)
Lineage: Eukaryota; Metazoa; Chordata; Mammalia; Primates; Hominidae
Description: long non-coding RNA NONPTRT001362
Source: RNAcentral
UCACCGUGAUAAUAACAGCAGUGACAACAAUCCUGGGAUAUUGGGCUUUUCAUUUCCAAGAGAGAAAUAGGAAGCACAUGCAUUUGGCCAGGAAGAAGACUUCAGCUAUUGAUGGGAGGGCCCUCUUUCUAGAAGGCAGAGAACAAUGGACUAGCCAGACAGGAAGGAGAGCGGCCCAGAGGGCAGUAAGGAGUGGGCAUCUGGGGCCCAGGGUUGGGAAGAACACUUCUGUUUGGCUUCCUUCCUCUUCUAGGGCAUGGCUAAGGUGGCCAACCUGCAUGCACCCCAGAAGAGGAAGAUAAGUAGGCCCAUGGGACUUUAUUAUGGAGGCUGAGGCUUUCACUGGCCUGAUUAACCCAUUUUCUGGGAAUGAGCACUUUGGGAGGAUAACAAUCAAAGGAGCCCCAGAGGACACGUGACAGGCUGGGGCCAUCAGAACUACUGAUCCGUGGGUACUAUCCGGCUUACUGAAUCAUGAAACACAGGUUAAAUUAAGGGUUGUCACACAUUUGGCUAAUUGGCCAAUAAGAACAGCAAUUAAUAGAGGUCAGGCAAUUCAACUGCAUCUGUGGCCAUGACUAUCAGAGCCCUUGGAAACAGCAGUGAUUUCAAGUGAAAUCUAAAUCAGCAGUGUUUCAGGUGACCUAGAGCAGGGCCCACGGCCCAUAGCCCAUAUGUUAGCACUUCCUGAAGGUUUUCUUCCACCCAAAUCCACAUGUUGGGACCCAGGGGAAGGUGUAGCAAAGCCAGUGACCAUUGUGUAAUCUUUGUUUUUUCUAUUUGACACUUUGUCAAAAAACACAUUC